UACGUAGGGUGCGAGCGUUGUCCGGAAUUAUUGGGCGUAAAGAGCUUGUAGGCGGUUUGUCGCGUCUGCCGUGAAAAUCCGGGGCUCAACCCCGGACUUGCGGUGGGUACGGGCAGACUAGAGUGUGGUAGGGGAGACUGGAAUUCCUGGUGUAGCGGUGAAAUGCGCAGAUAUCAGGAGGAACACCGGUGGCGAAGGCGGGUCUCUGGGCAGUAACUGACGCUGAGGAGCAAAAGCGUGGGGAGCAAACAGG
This 253-nucleotide ribosomal RNA is filed under the name uncultured bacterium. RNAcentral describes it as "partial 16S ribosomal RNA". It matches the Rfam family "Bacterial small subunit ribosomal RNA", at positions 524 to 776 of the family's 1533-position model. The record is from RNAcentral.